Picea glauca (white spruce) is the source of this 2404-nucleotide non-coding RNA. The record is from Rfam. NCBI's taxonomy places the organism in Eukaryota, Viridiplantae, Streptophyta, Pinopsida, Pinales, Pinaceae.
UGAAAAAAGAAUAAUCUACAGGAAUUUAUUGCUUGCCUGCAAUAGAUUGGGUAAGGGAUUUCUCUCUCAUCCGACCAUAGGGAGGAUGAGGAAGCGCAAGCAGGCUCAACCAAAGGGUGGGGGGUAGGGGUAGGGGAGAGGAAUUUAUCACUUUCCCAAUGCCCCCACACCAAAUAAGUAAUUCAGGUAUUUAUUGCUUUCUCGACGAAGGAGGGGAAUGGGGCUGGUUUCAUGAAUUUGGACUGGUUUUACGGGGAUGACUUGUGGCUAGGGAUGAAAGGCCAACCAAGAUUAGAUAUAGUUGGUUUUCUGCGAAAUAUAUUUCAGUAGAGCAUGUGUAUAAUAUGGCCUGAGGUAGAGCACUCAAUGGGCUAGGGUGGCCCAAAGCUUUACCAACCCCAAGGAAACUUCGAGUACAGGAUUAAUCAAUCGUACAGACAGACUUUGGGUGCUAAGAUCCAGAGUUGAGAGGGAAACAGCCCAUAUCGUAUGCUAAGGUCCCUAAGAAAUUGCUUAGUGGAAAAGGAAGUGAUCGAGCGAUGACAACCAGGAGGUGGGCUUGGAAGUAGCCAUCCUUUGAAGAAAGUGUAAUAGCUCACUGGUCUAGCUCCAUGGCACCGAAAAUGUAUCGGUGCUCAAGUGAUUCACUGAAGCUACGAGACCUUGGAAGCGUUAAGCGGCCUCUAAAGACCCAAGGUUACUUAUUUCUCACCCAAAGAAUGAGGGUGAGGAGAGCGUUUAGAUUGUCUUGACCAAAGGGAGAGGAGGGUGAGUAAGCGAGGCGCCAACCAAGUGUCAGUAACGGGACGUUCUGUCAAUCAAAGAAGGGACAACACCUGGAGAUAUCAGAAAUGAGAAUGCUGACAUGAGUAACAAUGAAUCAUGUGAAAAACAUGAUCGCUUGCCAGUUCCAAGGUUUCUGCAUUCAGUCAAUCUACGCAAACUGAAUCAGUCCCUAAGGAACCCCCGAAAGGGAUUUCACCCAAUGGGUACACGAAAGUGAUGAAGUUGCCCCAACUACUGAACCAUGCAUGUCUGUUGAAGUGAAUUGGAUGAGAGUUGGAUUUUCCUGCCAACCAAAUUGAAUGAAUGAAAAAGCGCACUUCUGUUAGGGUUUCAACUUCCAGGGAAAAACUUUGAAUUGGGAGGGUGAUCCUCCUGGUGAACUAACCGUACUCCAAACUGACACAGGUGAACAAGUAGAGUAUACUAGGGCUCUUGAGAGAACCAUGUUGAAGGAACUCGGAAAAAUGACCCCGUAACUUCGGGAGAAGGGGUGCUCUCCCUCCUAUCUUUGGGUUGGGAAAGCGGCACAUACCAGGGGGUAGCGACUGUUUAUUAAAAACAUAGGACUCUACCAAGUGGUAACACGAUGUAUAGAGUCUGACACCUACCCGGUGAUGGAAUGUUGGAAGGAGAAGCGUGAUAAGAUUCGAAUGGAAGCCCCGGUAAAUGACGAUAGUAACUCUAACUGUCCUAAGGUAGAGAAAUUCCUUAUCGCAUAAGUAGCGACCUGCACGAAUGGUGUAACGACUACCUCGCUGUCUCCGACAUGGACCCAGUGAAAUUAAAUUCUUCAUGAAGAUGCGGAGUACCAACGGCUAGACGGUAAGACCCCGUGCACCUUGACUAUAGAUUUGCAGUGACAACCUCUUACGAAUGUGUGGGAUAGGUGGGAGGUGGGGAAAUAUCAAUCCUGGAAUACCACUCUUUCGUCUAAGGAUGCGUAACUGCUUCUUUCUCUACAUUGAUUCUCAGGGUGGGACACUGCAAGGUGGGUAUUUUAUAUGGGGUGGAUGCCUCCUAAAGAGUAAUGGAACUGUGUGAAGGUAGGUGCUUUCUAUAAUAAAGCGUAAUGGUCUAAGCCUGCCUGAUUGUGAGACUCACUGGUCGAACAGAGACGAAAGUCGGCCAUAGUGAUAUGGGAGUCACGCGUGGAAGGGCUCUCACUCAACGGAUCAAAGGUACACCGGGGAUAACAAGUUGAUGACUCCCAAGAGAUCUUAUCGAAGGAGUCAUUUGGCACCUCGAUGUUGACUCAUCGCAUCUUGGGGUUGAAGAAGGUCCCAAGGGUUUGGUUGUUCGCCGAUGAAAGUGGUACGUGAGUUGGGUUUAGAACGUCGUGAGACAGUUCAGUUCCUAUCUACCACUGGUGUUGAAGGGAGAACUGCGAGGAGCCAAACCUAGUAUGAGAGGACUAGGUUGGGCCAACCUAUGGUGUACCAGUUGUCAUGCCUAGUAGCGUUGGGCAGCCAAGUUGGUAUGGAAGAACUACUGAAAGCAUCUAAGCGGGAAAUCCUUCUCUAGACAAGUUCUCAUACGAGGUGAAAGAACAUCACUUCGAUAGGUGGUAGGUGUAAGCACCGUGAGGUGUGAAGCAAUAUCAUACUAAUAUUUUUACUUA